RNAcentral lists this ribosomal RNA (666 nucleotides) under bacterium De108. RNAcentral describes it as "bacterial SSU rRNA". It matches the Rfam family "Bacterial small subunit ribosomal RNA", at positions 56 to 701 of the family's 1533-position model. The record is from RNAcentral.
UGCAAGUCGAGCGGAGACGAGUUAUCUGAACCUUCGGGGAACGAUAACGGCGUCGAGCGGCGGACGGGUGAGUAAUGCCUAGGAAAUUGCCCUGAUGUGGGGGAUAACCAUUGGAAACGAUGGCUAAUACCGCAUAAUGCCUACGGGCCAAAGAGGGGGACCUUCGGGCCUCUCGCGUCAGGAUAUGCCUAGGUGGGAUUAGCUAGUUGGUGAGGUAAUGGCUCACCAAGGCGACGAUCCCUAGCUGGUCUGAGAGGAUGAUCAGCCACACUGGAACUGAGACACGGUCCAGACUCCUACGGGAGGCAGCAGUGGGGAAUAUUGCACAAUGGGCGCAAGCCUGAUGCAGCCAUGCCGCGUGUGUGAAGAAGGCCUUCGGGUUGUAAAGCACUUUCAGUCGUGAGGAAGGUGGUAGUGUUAAUAGCACUAUCAUUUGACGUUAGCGACAGAAGAAGCACCGGCUAACUCCGUGCCAGCAGCCGCGGUAAUACGGAGGGUGCGAGCGUUAAUCGGAAUUACUGGGCGUAAAGCGCAUGCAGGUGGUUUGUUAAGUCAGAUGUGAAAGCCCGGGGCUCAACCUCGGAAUAGCAUUUGAAACUGGCAGACUAGAGUACUGUAGAGGGGGGUAGAAUUUCAGGUGUAGCGGUGAAAUGCGUAGAGAUCUGA